GCCCCUUUUUCUCUAUGCCCCU
Molecule: microRNA, 22 nt
Filed under: Gallus gallus (chicken)
Lineage: Eukaryota; Metazoa; Chordata; Aves; Galliformes; Phasianidae
Description: microRNA Ros-gga
Source: RNAcentral